GACAGAGGGUGCAAACGUUGUUCGGAAUUACUGGGCGUAAAGCGUGUGUAGGCGGCUAAGUAAGUCGGAUGUGAAAGCCCUGGGCUCAACCCAGGAAGUGCACUCGAUACUACCCAGCUUGAGUAUCGGAGAGGUUGGUGGAAUUCUCGGUGUAGAGGUGAAAUUCGUAGAUAUCGAGAGGAACACCGGUGGCGAAGGCGGCCAACUGGACGAAUACUGACGCUGAGACACGAAAGCGUGGGGAGCAAACAGG
This 253-nucleotide ribosomal RNA is filed under the name uncultured bacterium. RNAcentral's name for it is "partial 16S ribosomal RNA". It matches the Rfam family "Bacterial small subunit ribosomal RNA", at positions 524 to 776 of the family's 1533-position model. The record is from RNAcentral.